RNAcentral lists this unclassified non-coding RNA (221 nucleotides) under soil metagenome. Its description in RNAcentral is "partial contains 5.8S ribosomal RNA, internal transcribed spacer 2, and large subunit ribosomal RNA". The record is from RNAcentral.
AACAUCGCGCACCUGCGGGAACCUGCGGAAGGAUCAUUACACAAUACAAUAUGAAGGCUGUCCGCAGCUGGAGUAUUUUAUUACCCUUGUCUUUUGCGCACUUGUUGUUUCCUGGGCGGGUUCGCUCGCCACCAGGACCACCAAAUAAACCUUUUUUAUGCAGUUGCAAUCAGCGUCAGUACAAACAAUGUAAAUCAUUUACAACUUUCAGCAACGGAUCU